UGAGAUUCUAACUCGAGCCCUUGCCUGCAAUACGGCGUGCAGCAACUUUGAGUGUGGAUACUGGAUAGAGCGGAGAUCGGAAAGCCGUCUGACCGUCGUCAACUGCAAGUGUGGAGAAAAGGUGCUCGAAAAAAUGCCUCGCCGGCUGGGAAUAUUCUUCCGAAUUGUGCCAGGCCCGCAGAAAUUCCCAGCUGUUGCGACAGAAGUUCGCUGCGGGCCAGUGACUUGUCCUUGCGUGAUGUUGUGCCGAUCAAGACCUAGUUGCGCUCUGUUGCAUCCUGCUCGCCUCUGUUUUAUACACUCUAUCUUCAGAGCAAGCGCCAAGCGUUUUCUGUUCGUCUUGACCAGCAAGGAGACACGGUUUGAGCGCAAAUUCGCGUCGCUGUGUUUAGUAAGCGCAACUUGUCCAACCACAGUCAGUCUGGCUCAUGUGUUGUGAAGGAGAAGCAGAGUGUGCGCGAGAAAGAUUCUGCAGACGCGUGCUGGAGGCUGGUGAGAAGGGUUUGAUCACCACUCCGUUCCGGGAUUACGUGUAUCAAUAACGGCGGGGGUUCUUCAUAAGCAUCUCAAAUGGCGUGGGCUGCUAGACGCAAGCACGCUCGUCUUGCUGCUGGAUGUGUCCUACUUCUGUUCUGGUUUGGAUUCACCCCCGUGCAUUCUUCCAGCCCGGAAUCACGUGAGUACUGCACUGUGCUUGAACUACACACUCAUCCUGUUCUGCAGUGUUUUGUAUCUUUUUGAAGCUUGAGCCUCUUGCACGGGCGAAUUAACACAUUUGUGAAGCAUCAACACAAUUACAUGAACCGAAUGAUAUAGUAAUGAUUAUACAGACUCAGUAGGAUCACUGCAGGUUCACGGCACUGAGAUGGACACUAGCCGUGCGUAGAGUUGUAUAGUUUACACUGCUUGCCACAGCAUUUACAAUGGCUGCUGUCCAGCAAUACUUCGAUAUGAUUUCAACUAUUCAAAAGUUUUGGUCGUAAUCGAACCUUCCUGGAAUCAAGAUGAUGUACAUGUACAUGCACAUGUAUGACUACCAGGAAAUCAGUUAAUACCUUCCACAAGUUUGUUGAUUGAAGUACAUGUAUAUGAUGCAGCAGGGGUGGUGCAGAGAGGGCAUGUGGUGGAUUAAGAUGAUGAUAUACAUGAUUAAUCUACGUGGAGAUAAUAUUUUUAAUAUACAAUGUAGCUAUGAAUAGGAUGAAGGCCGCAUACAUCACGCAACUACGUUACUUGUUUUGACAUGUAUUUACUGUGUAUUUCAUAACAAAAAUAUUAUUGAAAACCCAUAAUCGAUUUUCUUGUGCCUAUCAUCAGUGGGAAAAAUACGGAACUAAGGAUACAACCAAAGAAACUGAAGUUAAGUACUGUAAAUAGAAAGGUGUUAGAAAUAACAACAAGAUACAAGUGCAAUAAAACCACUAGAGGAAACGCAAAAAGGUAACAAGAUUACGUAACCAAAGGCGAGAAGGCACUAAACGACGUGUCAACCUACGAAUACAACUUCAGUGCGACAACGUGCUCCUUCUGCUUACACAAAACAGGCUUAUGAAUACGUAUACAAACUGCCUUAAGGACUUUCAACUGUAGGACAUAACGCGCACGACACAGUACAGAAAAAUGAGAGUCAUCAUACACACUAAGACAGUCAGGACGAGAUAACAAGUGUAGAUACACAGCUGACUUCUUAC
Molecule: long non-coding RNA, 1691 nt
Organism: Sycon ciliatum
Lineage: Eukaryota; Metazoa; Porifera; Calcarea; Leucosolenida; Sycettidae
Exons: 3
Source: RefSeq, a predicted model, not a curated record